AAUCAGUGCCUGGAGAGCAGAAAGAAGAAAAUUAGUGUGAUGCUCACUCGUGGGAACAUACAGCAAGAUUAUAAACACUCCUACUAAAGGCGGCGAGAAGGAAUAGGAAUCAGGAAGAUUUAACACUGAGAAGUCACCUAUGCUGAUCCUAAAGCCUGGACUCAACUGUGUAAUGCUAGGUAGAAAUCCUCUAAACAAGCUCCAAAACCGUGGCAGAGACACCAGCAAACACGCCUCCAACAGCAGAAUGGAUGGCCAGAUACAUUACCAUCUUCAGGUUGCGUGCACCGAAGAAGAAGGGCGGCCAAGCCCAGUUCAGGGCCAGCUGAGCCCCGUAGAGGCCGAGCGGGAUGACAGCUUUGCUGCUGCAGCCGCCCAGGUCAUUCCAUAUCAGUGCAAGAAGAGAGAAGGAGGCACGGAAAAUUCCCUCAUCCUGAGAAACAUCCCUCGCAUUCUGAACACCAGUCGGAGGAGCAGGGAGCACAAGGAGAGGACUGAUCUGCAUAUGCUUCUCUGUUUGGGAUUCUAAUCCACAAUUAACACUUUGCUAUAGCCUAUGCUAAUUGUUAUUAUUAUCAUCCUGCUACAAAGCGUUCGUCUUCAGAAACACACACAAGCCAGUUUAUACAUCAAUAAGGAACAAAUACGCCAGACACUAUCUCUAACUAACAAUUCCCUUACCAGACAAUUUAUAGCACUAUUAAAGUGUCUGUGGGACCAGAAAAUCAACCAGACACUGAGAGAAAUAAUAGCUGCUAGUCCUGCUUUUAAAGUGUAAAACAGCAGCAGCUGAGUUUCAGUUCUUCUCAUGGUACUUCCAUAGCAAACUGGGUAAAGCAGAUUUUUACCCCUUCCCAAUUCUUUUGAAGCUGGGAGGUUGCAGAAGUAACUGAAGGUUGCAAAUAACAUAGUGUUUUUAUAUCUUGUUUUGCCUCAUAGUUGGUGUAAUUAUGGAGUCUGAGCUAUAAAAAAACUUACCGUCUCUUACCACCUUUCUCUCCCUCGCAAAGAAAAAGGGUUGGACAUCCAAGGCCAGCUUCUGCUUGUAGUGCUGGUGCUUCUAUACAAUGAAGGGAACAUCAGCUGAGUUUUACCUAAACAGCAGAAAAAAGGGUGUGUAUGCGUGCGCACUGGUGGCUGUGUCAGAUUACACCACAGAGCCCAAAUUCAGCAAGAAUUACAAGGAUCCUCAGCAGUGGGUGAGCAGCUGGGGGGGGGGGCAAGCCUAGCUUUUGGCUGCAAACACCACAGCAAUGCCACAAGUGAGGCGCUGGGCUUGGUUUGAGGAUGAGCAUCAUGCCUGUAGGACAGAGGGUGACUUUAUGGGACAGAACAGCACCCUUUGGUCUGGCUGGGAGUGCAUUGCCCAUGCAAACAUACAAAGCAUGUCAUGCAAGAGCGUGCUAAUUGUACAACAGCUUUGGGUAAGGGAUCCAGGGCAUAACAGUAUGAAUUCUGUGCAGGGGUAUGAGCUAUACUGAUUUACUCCACCUGAGGAUCUGGCCCAGAGUGUGCAGACAUCCAGGGGUGUGAGUGCAGGGCAGAAGGAGCCCACUGUGCCUGCAAGGGCCUCUGCCAUCCCCAGGGAAUGUUCAACAGACUGCUCGUGAACGAAAUGCUUCCCAUGGUUGCCUGUCCACCAGCCUUUGGGCUAAAAAUCGCUGGGAACCACUUGAAUUUAAAAUAAAGACAUUACAUGAGCAUGCUAAAUGAAAAAGAAAAAAGCUAGAAAUCAAUUUCCAUUAGUAAGCUGUCUGCGAGGGAUGGGGAAUUAAACACUAAUUUACUUCGGUUAUGGGUCAUUACCUGAAUUUCAUGGCCGGAUGCAGGAUGGCUGGUUCCUAGCAGAAUGCAGUAGUACUGUUAUGACACAGAACCAACGAGAUCUUCUCUUUUAUUGGGCUCAGAAGAAAAUUAUUUUUUGUGGGAGGAGAAAGGAAAAAAUAACCGCAAAGGUUUUCAGCCAGCACAAAUCAAUACAGUGCUAUGGAGGUAGCGUGUUUAUAUACUGUAAUUGCCCCUUUGAAAUAACAGAUGCCACGCACAUUAAUCAAGCAGUAGCCACCUGCACAUCCCUUCAGAGUCUGUUGCUAUUUGUGACUGGAAACUCCUGACAUGCACCGAGGCGGCUGCGUUCUGCAACAGAGCAUUUUGCACUGCAUGUGGCCACUUUGCCACUGCCUGGGUGCUGAAGCAGCCAUCCUGCAGGGUGCUGGUGGGUGCUGCCUUCUGGACGCCUCAGCAGCCUUGUCACAGAGCCAGCAAUUCGACAGGUUUUAGCUGGUAACAUUUCCUUUCCUGGGCUUGGGCACAGAACUUGAUUACUUAGCUGCUCAAAAUGUAACGGUUGAAUUCCCGAGUUAUUUUAGAGGCUGCAAGAAUUAAGAACUGGGGGUUAAAUCACAAGGAUUUUGGUAACCCUGUGAAGUUGGGGGUGAUACUCCAGGAGAAGAGGAAAUGCAAAAAGGGGGGAAAAAAUAACCUGUAAUUCAUGUAUCCGUCUUACUUGGGCUUUGUAGCAAAGAAAGGGGUAGGAAAAGACAUGGAGGUACGUGGAAAAAUGGGAUAUGUAACGGAUCUGCCCAAAGUGGAUCACAGUGGGCUGGAUCGUAGCAGAUGAGGUGGCAUCGCCUGGGCAGGUGUCUGUUUCCGAAACACAAAGUUAGGGCAUACCUCACUCGUCUGGACUUCUGAAUCGCAUCUGUUACGGUGUUUAUGAGUUGAAGAUGCUGGCAGAUGGUCGUAGGGCUGCUGGUGGUUGCACAGAACAGACAGCGAGAGGGAGUGGUGAAAGACAAGGAUCAUGUCAGGGAGAGCCUUUGCUGAGCCCCAGACCUCUUUCAGAUACAGCACGGGCACACAUGCAGGCACACCGACACAUCUGUGCACAUGCUAUAGAGCAGAAGAGUCUUGCAAUAAACCAGAAGGACUUUCUCUAGCACAAUACUGUUUUCCCUUUGUUACCAUAGAUUUAUGCCUCAAUAUUUCUGCUUUGAUUCAUUUUACAGUAAGACAAGAUGAGGUAAUAUUACCUCUUAGUAAAAUCAGUUCUAUAUUGUAUCUUGAUGUGCAUCUGUAUAUUAAAGUAAUAUUAUUAGUGGAUUUUAGGUCACUGUUGUAUCACUGCAAUAUGUUUUCAUGAAAGAAGAGACCUGGGAGAGCUGAGUUACACAACUGUGUUUGUUUUCUUCUUCUUAGCAACCUUCGCACGUUGUCCCAAGAGGUUUUCAGUCUAUGCAAGAUUAAUUGCCCAAAUAUAAAAGCCCUGUUAACCUGAAUAUAUUAUUGAAAAACAGCAUAUUUCAAUCUGCCCUAGUUUUGAAAAUAGAGAUGCCAGGUCAGCUCCUGGCAUAAAUCUGCAGUGCUCCACGAAGCCAGCGGAGCUUCUCUGAUUUACAUCGGCAAUAAAGUCGGCCUGGUUUGUCUGCCACUGAUCAGCCAGUGCGCUCGCAGAGCUGCCGCAGAGGACACGGCGGUGGCCAGGGAGGAACACUUGUGACAGUCACCACGCAACUGAAAAACUCAAACCUGCCCGCCUUGGCAUUGCAAAAUAAAAUACUUCAUUUUUCAGGUUCACAUGUUGUUUUGUUCCAAAAAUUAAAAUAACAAUAGUUUUUUAAUAGAAAACAAAAUUGUCCUUAAAAAUAUCGUUCUGUUAAGUUAACAAACCAAGAUAAUAUGGAAUGAUUUACAAGUUUUCAGCCGGUCAGUUGUUCCUUUUCUACUUGGGCUGUGCAGCACAAGACCUGCAAGCCACUGGGAACUUGGGUGUGGAUUGCCUGGCUAGCAGAGCCAUGAAUUUUGAAUUUCCACUUUUUCUCCACUAGAGGGAAUUUUAAAACUGAUCUUAGGGAUAAAGUACAGUUUUCUAUAUCUCUUGCGGGACAUUGCUGCGUGCAGUCUGGGCUGUGUCUGGAUGCACAGUGGCAUUGGCCCCUCUGUAAAACACAAAGUCCUUUCUCUGUCCUGGCUGAUUAUGGCUAAUCACAGGAAUAGCUCUGUUCGGAGAUGAACAGCAGAAAAACCUCCUUUAUUUCCUAGGGCUCAGCCUGUGCUUGCUCCCUGCCUGCAGGGAGGAGCAGGCACAGCCGUGGCUGCAGCUCCGGUGCUCGCCCAACACGCUGUCGUGCACGGGACUCUGCAUCCCGUGGGGCUCUGUUUGGGGCCAGCCAUAACCAAAAGGCCAGACCAAGCUUCCAGAUGCAGGGAUGUGUGAGUGAAGUGAAUAUUGCCUCAUGGAGCAAAUUCACCAGAAAAUGAUGGGAGAAAUACAGGCAGGCUUCCUGAGACCCUUCCCUGAUGUGAAGCUAUUCUGCCAGAGCUCCAGCUUUGAUCCCGUGGGACUGCCAGGGAAGCAGAGCAGCGCCUGGCUGCACACACGUCACAACUGUCACAGCUGCUGGAACCGGUGCGCCUCUGCCCAUGGCCAUGCCUCCAGGGCUGGCUUCCCUUUGGCCAGCCUGCACCACCAUUAUUCAGGGAAAGUUGGGAAGAUUUUCGAACAAGGAGUGAACUGGAGAAGAAUCCAGAUCUCUGGCUGCCAAUUCACAGCAUGGGGAAAAAAUAAACAUAAAUAAAAUAACUAAAUAAAUAAA
Molecule: non-coding RNA, 4595 nt
Organism: Anas platyrhynchos (mallard)
Lineage: Eukaryota; Metazoa; Chordata; Aves; Anseriformes; Anatidae
Source: RefSeq, a predicted model, not a curated record